GCGGAGGAAAAGAAACCAACAGGGAUUACCUCAGUAACGGCGAGUGAAGCGGUAACAGCUCAAAUUUGAAAUCUGGCUCUUUCAGGGUCCGAGUUGUAAUUUGUAGAAGAUGCUUUGGGCGUGGCUCCGGUCUAAGUUCCUUGGAACAGGACGUCAUAGAGGGUGAGAAUCCCGUACGUGACUGGUUGCCUUCGUCCGUGUAAAGCUCUUUCGACGAGUCGAGUUGUUUGGGAAUGCAGCUCAAAAUGGGUGGUAAAUUUCAUCUAAAGCUAAAUAUUGGCCAGAGACCGAUAGCGCACAAGUAGAGUGAUCGAAAGAUGAAAAGCACUUUGGAAAGAGAGUUAAACAGUACGUGAAAUUGUUGAAAGGGAAGCGCUUGCAACCAGACUUGCACGUAGUUGAUCAUCCGAGGUUUUCCCCGGUGCACUCGAUUGCGUUCAGGCCAGCAUCGGUUUGGGUGGCUGGAUAAAGGCCUUGGGAAUGUGGCUCCUCUCGGGGAGUGUUAUAGCCCUCGGUGCAAUGCAGCCUAUCCGGACCGAGGACCGCGCUUCGGCUAGGAUGCU
Molecule: ribosomal RNA, 563 nt
Filed under: Hyalopeziza sp. TNS-F18048
Lineage: Eukaryota; Fungi; Ascomycota; Leotiomycetes; Helotiales; Hyaloscyphaceae
Description: eukaryotic LSU rRNA
Rfam family: Eukaryotic large subunit ribosomal RNA
Source: RNAcentral